AUCAGACACGGUGUCAGCAGCCGCGGUAAUACGGAGGAUCCGAGCGUUAUCCGGAUUUAUUGGGUUUAAAGGGAGCGUAGGCGGAUUGUUAAGUCAGUUGUGAAAGUUUGCGGCUCAACCGUAAAAUUGCAGUUGAUACUGGCAGUCUUGAGUGCAGUAGAGGUGGGCGGAAUUCGUGGUGUAGCGGUGAAAUGCUUAGAUAUCACGAAGAACUCCGAUUGCGAAGGCAGCUCACUGGAGUGUAACUGACGCUGAUGCUCGAAAGUGUGGGUAUCAAACAGGAUUAGAUACCCUGGUAGUCCACACAGUAAACGAUGAAUACUCGCUGUUUGCGAUAUACAGUAAGCGGACCAAGCGAAA
RNAcentral lists this ribosomal RNA (360 nucleotides) under uncultured bacterium. Its description in RNAcentral is "bacterial SSU rRNA". It matches the Rfam family "Bacterial small subunit ribosomal RNA", at positions 492 to 856 of the family's 1533-position model. The record is from RNAcentral.